CACGUAGGGGACGAGCGUUGUCCGGAUUCAUUGGGCGUAAAGAGCUCGUAGGCGGCUUGUUGCGUCGGUUGUGAAAGCCCGGGGCUUAACCCCGGGUCUGCAGUCGAUACGGGCAGGCUAGAGUGUGGUAGGGGAGAUCGGAAUUCCUGGUGUAGCGGUGAAAUGCGCAGAUAUCAGGAGGAACACCGGUGGCGAAGGCGGAUCUCUGGGCCAUUACUGACGCUGAGGAGCGAAAGCGUGGGGAGCGAACAGG
Molecule: ribosomal RNA, 253 nt
Filed under: uncultured bacterium
Lineage: Bacteria
Description: partial 16S ribosomal RNA
Rfam family: Bacterial small subunit ribosomal RNA
Source: RNAcentral